Long non-coding RNA from Trachemys scripta elegans, 563 nucleotides. RefSeq lists it as uncharacterized. The transcript is spliced from 3 exons. The record is from RefSeq and is a predicted model, not a curated record. NCBI's taxonomy places the organism in Eukaryota, Metazoa, Chordata, Testudines, Emydidae.
GGUUCACAGCAGGGUGAGGGGAUCACUGAGAGUACACGGCAAGGCACAUUGGCCUGUUCGAAUUUGUGUAAAGAACGAGAAAUUGCUGAAGGCUGGAGAGGAACAGAGCAGCAGAAAGGAAGAAACAAACAACAAGCACGAAACAGAGAGCUGAAAGUGCCAAUUGGCUGUUGCUGUGAUACAAGUGCAUUGGUGGCUGGAGAUACCUUCCCAGAGGAGCAAUUCGGCUUCACAGUCAUUACGGUGCAUUUCGAUGUAAGCAUUGUGAAGACUGAAAUCUGACCAGACACUGCAGCAGGACUGAUCUGGUGAAAGGCAACUGGUCUGAAUUCAGGCAUUUAUUCCUGCCAUCAGGCUCAUCGGGGCUGAAUUCUUCCGUUGCCAUGUUUGGAGGAAAGCUAAGCAGCCAACCACAAUGGAUAGGGCAAAGAAGAAUUGUGAAGAAGAGCUGAAGGUUCCAUCGGUGAGGAUAAAGUUCAGGGCCAUCACACAUGGUGUAGGGAUAUAAAAGAAGGUACUAACAGUGAUUCCCCCAAGUGACAGUGACCCCCUCAUAAUUUGUC